Molecule: transfer RNA, 73 nt
Filed under: Propioniciclava sinopodophylli
Lineage: Bacteria; Bacillati; Actinomycetota; Actinomycetes; Propionibacteriales; Propionibacteriaceae
Also listed under: 3 other names
Rfam family: tRNA
About the family: Transfer RNA (tRNA) molecules are approximately 80 nucleotides in length. Their secondary structure includes four short double-helical elements and three loops (D, anti-codon, and T loops).
Source: Rfam by way of RNAcentral
GCCCCUGUAGCUCAGUUGGCAGAGCGCGUCCUUGGUAAGGACGAGGUCUGCGGUUCAAAUCCGCAUGGGGGCU